GACGAACGCUGGCGGCGUGCCUAAUACAUGCAAGUAGAACGCUGAAGAGAGGAGCUUGCUCUUCUUGGAUGAGUUGCGAACGGGUGAGUAACGCGUAGGUAACCUGCCUUGUAGCGGGGGAUAACUAUUGGAAACGAUAGCUAAUACCGCAUAACAAUGGAUGACCCAUGUCAUUUAUUUGAAGGGGGCAAAUGCUCCACUACAAGAUGGACCUGCGUUGUAUUAGCUAGUAGGUGAGGUAACGGCUCACCUAGGCGACGAUACAUAGCCGACCUGAGAGGGUGAUCGGCCACACUGGGACUGAGACACGGCCCAGACUCCUACGGGAGGCAGCAGUAGGGAAUCUUCGGCAAUGGGGGCAACCCUGACCGAGCAACGCCGCGUGAGUGAAGAAGGUUUUCGGAUCGUAAAGCUCUGUUGUAAGUCAAGAACGAGUGUGAGAGUGGAAAGUUCACACUGUGACGGUAGCUUACCAGAAAGGGACGGCUAACUACGUG
Molecule: ribosomal RNA, 497 nt
Filed under: uncultured bacterium
Lineage: Bacteria
Description: partial 16S ribosomal RNA
Rfam family: Bacterial small subunit ribosomal RNA
Source: RNAcentral